GCCGAAGUGGUGGAAUUGGUAGACACGCCGUCUUGAGGGGCCGGUGGCGUAAAGCUGUGCCGGUUCGAGUCCGGCCUUCGGCACCA
Molecule: transfer RNA, 86 nt
Filed under: Legionella antarctica
Lineage: Bacteria; Pseudomonadati; Pseudomonadota; Gammaproteobacteria; Legionellales; Legionellaceae
Description: Legionella sp. TUM19329 tRNA-Leu
Rfam family: tRNA
About the family: Transfer RNA (tRNA) molecules are approximately 80 nucleotides in length. Their secondary structure includes four short double-helical elements and three loops (D, anti-codon, and T loops).
Source: RNAcentral